GGAAGAGGGGUGCGUGCUGCCGCAAUAAACCAUCCCUCCAUUAUGAGCUGUUGUCUGCAGCCAAGGCAAUGCUGGAGGAGAGAGGGGAUAAAGGAUACGGUGCAGUUUGUUCUCGUUAUACUUGGAGGACAUGCGGUUCAGGGAGGAGGUGAGCCAUGAGGCCAGCGUGCUGGAUGUGCCUUUUGCUCUCCAAGGCUGGAUUUUGCUUUAAACCAGUUGUGCCACCAAACCUCUGCUGCUCACACCCUACUGGGACUGGGGUGGUUCCAGGCAAGAACUGGGAGAACAUCAGCACGGAGCAUCCUGCCGUCAGCACACCUCACCUGUCCUUGAAGGUCUUGGUGAGCUGCGUGUGGCACCUCUUGACGAGCUCAGUGCUGCUGCUGGCGCUGGCAGCCCACUUGUAUUUGUGCCAUAUGUCACUGCUGGUGUUGUCCAGGCGGCCGCAGCCCUCGGGCUGUAGGCUGGGGCUGGCGAGCAGGGUCAGGUUGCCAAAGCUGUCCUUCUUGAGGUGCACUGAAACGACUCCUGCAGGAAAGGAGGCAAAGCAAACCAGAACGGGGUUAACCCCUGUGAUACUGUGGG
Molecule: long non-coding RNA, 585 nt
Filed under: Gallus gallus (chicken)
Lineage: Eukaryota; Metazoa; Chordata; Aves; Galliformes; Phasianidae
Description: long non-coding RNA NONGGAT005454
Source: RNAcentral